UACUAGAGUAGCACUCGCAUAUCAAUAAGCGGAGGAAAAGAAACUAACAAGGAUUCCCCUAGUAACGGCGAGUGAAGCGGGAAGAGCUCAAAUUUGAAAUCUUAAAGGGUUUCCCUUUACGAAUUGUAGUUUAAAGAAGUGCUUUCUGUUGAGGUUUUGGUAAAAGUUCUUUGGAAUAGGACAUCAUAGGAGGGUGUGAAUCCCGUAUUUGACCUUUACUUUCAACUUUGUGAUACACUUUCAAAGAGUCGGAUUGUUUGGGAAUGCAGUCCAAAAUGGGUGGUAAAUUUCAUCUAAAGCUAAAUAUUGGCGAGAGACCGAUAGCGAACAAGUACCGUGAGGGAAAGGAUGAAAAGAACUUUGAAAAGAGAGUUAAACAGUACGUGAAAUUGUCAAAAGGGAAGCGUUUGACACCAGUGUUGUUUUUCUGAAAAUCAAUUAAAGAACUGUUUAUGCUAAGUUGUUUAGACUUUAUCAGCUAACUGUUUAGUUUUGAGCUUUUCUUUAAUGCACUUUUCAGUUAACAAGUCAACAUCAAUUUCUUUUGCUGUAAAAAGCUUGAGGAAGGUGGCUUGAGAUUCGUCUUAAGUGUUUAUAGCCUCUUGCCUAUGCAGUCGGAGAGAUUGAGGUCUGCAGCGUAGAUCCUUCGGGGCUAAAUGCAUUUGUGCUAAGUUAUAGCAUUUAUAGACAACUUGUUGACUAUGAUUUGUCUUGUAGCUUACUCGCUUAUGUUAUUUUACCUACGCUUAGGAUGUUGAUAUCGCGCUCUCACUG
This 774-nucleotide ribosomal RNA is filed under the name uncultured Neocallimastigales. RNAcentral's name for it is "partial large subunit ribosomal RNA". It matches the Rfam family "Eukaryotic large subunit ribosomal RNA", at positions 20 to 621 of the family's 3401-position model. Lineage: Eukaryota; Fungi; Neocallimastigomycota; Neocallimastigomycetes; Neocallimastigales. The record is from RNAcentral.